Daldinia vernicosa is the source of this 82-nucleotide non-coding RNA. The record is from the annotation of a RefSeq genome assembly. NCBI's taxonomy places the organism in Eukaryota, Fungi, Ascomycota, Sordariomycetes, Xylariales, Hypoxylaceae.
GGACCGGUAGCUCAGUGGUAGAGCGUGGGAUUGCAGUUCAGCAAUCAUCCUAAGGUCACGCGUUCGAUCCGCGUUCGGUCCU